AAUAAAAGCCAAUCCUGACCGCAGCAAGGUCAACGAAGGCCUCCCGUCUCUCUCUCUCUCUCUCUCUCUCUCUCUCUCUCUCUCUCCUCUCCCUUUUUGCUCUCGGGGUGGGUUUGUUCCCUUCUCGUCCGAUCGAGCAACCAUGUCGUCGAAGCAAGGUGGAAAGGCGAAGCCUUUGAAGCAGCCAAAGGUCCAGAAGAAGGAAUACGAUGAGGAGGAUCUUGCAAAGCUUCAGAAAAAGAAAGAGGAAGAAAAGGCACUGAAGGAAUUGAAGGCCAAGGCAUCUCAGAAGGGAACAUUUGGAGGCACUGGUCUUAAGAAGAGCGGAAAGAAAUAAAUCCUCUGUUUCCUCAUGUAAUGCUUAUGUUAAACCAGCCAACAAUGCUCAAGCAACCAUCCGGGUCAACUCUAGUAGUUCCCAUAUUGUAGUUCUUAACUAUCAUCUCUUGAGAUAUGCAUGGAUUUGUCUGGCUAAUAUGAGUGGGGACUGUUGCUACAAUGGAACAAAUGGAAAAUCUACUACUGCAUUAAACUCUAAAGAUUGUUUUUUUUCUGAUAGAAUAUGGAACUGGAAA
Molecule: long non-coding RNA, 575 nt
Organism: Phoenix dactylifera (date palm)
Lineage: Eukaryota; Viridiplantae; Streptophyta; Magnoliopsida; Arecales; Arecaceae
Source: RefSeq, a predicted model, not a curated record